RNAcentral lists this ribosomal RNA (862 nucleotides) under uncultured Glomus. Its description in RNAcentral is "eukaryotic LSU rRNA". It matches the Rfam family "Eukaryotic large subunit ribosomal RNA", at positions 1 to 708 of the family's 3401-position model. The record is from RNAcentral. Lineage: Eukaryota; Fungi; Glomeromycota; Glomeromycetes; Glomerales; Glomeraceae.
ACCUCAAAUCAGGUAAGAGUACCCGCUGAACUUAAGCAUAUCAAUAAGCGGAGGAAAAGAAAAUAACAAUGAUUCCCUUAGUAACGGCGAGUGAAGGGGGAUAAGCUCAAAUUUUAAAUCUGAUUGGUUAUACCUGUCAGAGUUGUAAUUUGAAGAAGCGUUUUCCGCGUCUCGGUUGACCCAAGUCCUUUGGGAUAAGGCAUCAUGGAGGGUGAGAACCCCGUUCGGUUGACCUUAUGACGUUUUACGGUACGCUUUCAAAGAGUCGAGUUGUUUGGGAUUGCAGCUCAAAAUGGGAGGUAAAUUUCUCCUAAGGCUAAAUAUUGGCGAGAGACCGAUAGCGAACAAGUACCGUGAGGGAAAGAUGAAAAGAACUUUGAAAAGAGAGUAAAAUAGUACGUGAAAUUGUUGAAAGGGAAACGAUUGAAGUCAGUCGUACCGACGAGAAAUCAGCUCUUCGAGUGUGAACUUGUGGGCGUGCUUGAGUCUUUAACGGGCCUUGCUGUUUGCAAUGUUUGUGCUUUUUGGGUGUUCUUUUUCGUAUGGUUGGCCAACGUCAGUUUCGAUCAUCAUAAAAUGAUCAGAGGAAUGUAGCUUCGAUCUCGUAUUGAAGUGUUAUAGCCUUUGGUAGAUGUGGUGAUUGAAACUGAGGAUUGCAACGAAUACCCUUUGGGCUAUCCGUCUGGCCUCUGAAUGUUGCCUAGGUGCCGAAAGCGUGCUUACGGUUAUCUAAGGUGGCGGUCAAAAGGCUAGAACGUGAUUACAUUCGUUAAGGAUGUUGGCGUAAUGGCUUUAAACGACCCGUCUUGAAACACGGACCAAGGAGUCUAACAUAUGUGCGAGUGUUUAGUAUUGGGGAUCC